Molecule: ribosomal RNA, 180 nt
Filed under: uncultured bacterium
Lineage: Bacteria
Description: partial 16S ribosomal RNA
Rfam family: Bacterial small subunit ribosomal RNA
Source: RNAcentral
GAAGCUGGAGUUGCUAGUAAUCGCGAAUCAGCAUGUCGCGGUGAAUACGUUCCCGGGCCUUGUACACACCGCCCGUCACACCAUGAGAGUUGGCAAUACCCAACGUACGUGAUCUAACCCGCAAGGGAGGAAGCGUCCUAAGGUAGGGUCAGCGAUUGGGUGAAGUCGUAACAAGGUAUC